Hippocampus zosterae (dwarf seahorse) is the source of this 1965-nucleotide RNA transcript. It is a transcript of the gene named protein SCO1 homolog, mitochondrial, with no coding region annotated. The record is from RefSeq and is a predicted model, not a curated record. Lineage: Eukaryota; Metazoa; Chordata; Actinopteri; Syngnathiformes; Syngnathidae. The transcript is spliced from 9 exons.
GAUCUGAGAGCAGCUUUGGUGUCUAUUAUGACCUCUGGCGCUUGAAAGAUCUGAUCUGAGACCAGCAAUAUUAACGGCCGAGUUCCGGUUUCUCUUUGGUCACAUUUUGUAAACUUGCAGGAUCGGUAAAAGAUGUCACUAAGGGUUAUGUUUUACCAUCUGGGCUGCAAACGGUUUGGCGGUUAUGAUAAAGUCUUACAAAGCGUCAGAUUAUUCCACAGACUCAUACGAAGAGACCUCGAACCGAUGCGCAUGCUGUCACCGUCGCCGACAAGCGUCUGCUGCCGAGUGAAUGUGAGGCAGUGGCACUCCUGCCUAGCAACACGAUAUCAACAUCUGCAAAGUGCCAAGUGGUUUUCCACGCUACCCCCACCGCCUUCGUCGCGGGACAAAUCCAAAAAGACUGGGCCCGUCACGUGGAAAUCUUUAGCAGUAACUUUUGCCAUCGGGGGAGCUCUGCUCGGUGGGAUGAAAUACUUCAAGAGUGAAAAAGAAGAACUGAUGGAAAAAGAGCGGAACAAGUCGAUGGGGCGACCGGCACUUGGAGGACCAUUUUCACUGGUGGACCACAAGAGGAACUCGGUGAGCAGCGAUGACUUCUUGGGCCAGUGGGUGCUGAUCUACUUCGGCUUCACGCACUGUCCUGACAUCUGCCCCGAUGAGCUGGAGAAAAUGAUGGAAGUGGUGGACGAAAUUGACAAAAUCAAGUCCCUGCCCAAGCUGACGCCCAUCCUCAUCACCAUUGACCCUGACAGGGACACCCCGGAGGCCAUGGGGGCCUACGUCAAAGAGUUUUCUCCGAAGUUGAUAGGCCUGACGGGGACGAGGGCUCAAGUGGAGCAAGUGUCGAGAGCUUACCGAGUUUACUACAGUCAAGGACCCAAAGAUGAAGACAAUGACUACAUCGUGGACCACACCAUCAUCAUGUACCUGGUCGGACCUGACGGACACUUUGUGGACUAUUUUGGUCAGAACAAAAGAAACACGGAGAUCUCCAACGCCAUCGCAGCUCACAUGAGGAAGUACAAGACGGAGAAGUGAUUGGACACCAAACGAGACAAAUAAAUGAUAAACGAGAAUGAAAAGAUCCACCAGCCCACCUGGCUCUUCUUCACCUUCGAGGCUCAAAACUCCACCAGGAAUAUGCCCACCUGGCUCUUCAUCACCAUCGAUGUCCAUCACUGCACCAGGGUUGCCAUUGAGGUUCUUCAGACCACAUAGAGCCACCGACGCAAGAAGACAUUCUCCAUCAUAUUCCACCACUCCAUCAUCAGUAUCCAACCAUCCAUGUUCUUCACCAUCAAAGAACAAGGUCUGACCAAGUUUGUGUUCUACUCCUUCAAGGUUUUUUGCACUAUCAAGAAGCUCCACAUCAUGACCAUCGAGCCAUCUGCCACCCACGGCCGCACAAGUUUUAUCUUCAAGGUCGAGUUCCUCCACUCCGCGGGGCUCCUCGUCUCCGUAGCCUUCAUCACUGCCUCUGACGGCGAUGUAGUCGUCGACGGGCGCAACGGCCAUGUGGGCGAGAGUGGUCUCCUUGUAGGCGCAGUCAUCAAUCAGGUCCUCCAGGCUCUGGUCCAGCAUUUCAAAAACCAGAUACGGGUAGUCCUGGAAAACGAAGUGUUCAAUGAACCUCACCAAGCUGUUCCUGUUCUUGUCCAGGAAGCGGAUCUUCUGCAGCGCUUGCACCUCCUGGUGGAAGUUGUUCAUGUUGCAUCUUUUCAUGAGCUUGACAGCCACGCGGUCCGACGUGUUCAGGUUGAAGCACUUGGCCACAAUUCCGUAGCGUCCCUCUCCCAGCACACUCAGAACCUUGUAGCUGUAGCACUUGCUGGAGAAGACCUCAUCAUAAACCUGCUGAGGGCUGUCACACUCUUUAUGUUCUGUGGACAUGUCUGACAUUUUGGCGUAAGUCUCUUUCUUGUGCCUCCCAAACAUGACCAAAUAAUAAUAAUAAUAUUCAUU